Molecule: ribosomal RNA, 200 nt
Filed under: uncultured Desulfuromonas sp.
Lineage: Bacteria; Pseudomonadati; Thermodesulfobacteriota; Desulfuromonadia; Desulfuromonadales; Desulfuromonadaceae
Description: partial 16S ribosomal RNA
Rfam family: Bacterial small subunit ribosomal RNA
Source: RNAcentral
UACUCCUACGGGAGGCAGCAGUGGGGAAUUUUGCGCAAUGGGCGAAAGCCUGACGCAGCAACGCCGCGUGAGUGAUGAAGGCCCUCGGGUCGUAAAGCUCUGUCAGAGGGGAAGAAACUUUUGAGGGAGAAUAUCCCUUGAAACUGACGGUACCCUCAAAGGAAGCACCGGCUAACUCCGUGCCAGCAGCCGCGGUAAUA